This 1105-nucleotide long non-coding RNA is filed under the name Scleropages formosus (Asian bonytongue). RNAcentral describes it as "lncRNA (ENSSFOG00015032939.1)". The record is from RNAcentral. Lineage: Eukaryota; Metazoa; Chordata; Actinopteri; Osteoglossiformes; Osteoglossidae.
ACUCUCAGACAGGAAUAAAGAACGAACCUAUAAUUUUUUUACUUCACUAAUAUGUUGUCUUAAAAAAAAUCAACUGAAUGCUUGUUUGUUUUUCAUAAUACAGUUCCUUGAGCGGCCUUCCAGUCACCUGACUCUAUAUUUGACUGUCCCGUUUGUUUACCUUUAUUUUAUUGCACUGCUCACCAUAACUGAGGUACUUAGCCACAGAAGUGGCCACACUGGUUUUAUUUAAGCGGAAUUCCUCUUUUGGCGCGCAGGGCAGAGACAGUUACGCAGUAGCAGUCAUCCUCCGUAGAGGGCGCUCUAGUUUGGAGCGCCAUCCCUGAGAAACACAUUCCUUUUACGGUUUUCCAAAGAUUUUUUAGUUUGUGGGAAAGUAUUCGACUCUCGAUGGUAUGGUGACCAUCACGGGGCUUCCAAAUCCUGAGCGGACUUUGAUGUUUUUUUUUUUUUUUUGCCCGAUAGUGAUUUUUAUGCACAGCGACGGACCGGCGACGUUCCGGGCAUUAGUGCUUCCCCGUAAUGGAGUGUAGGUCAGAAUAAAGGGAGCAAAAGGAGAAGCCGGAAGUGGCGUUGCAGUUGUGGGUUUUGUCGUUUGUGAGACAAUCUUUGAGUGGAGCCCGGCGGCUAACAGAGCUAGCCACGAGUGGGCCUGGGCGGUGGUGCGGGCGCGGCGAGCGGCACAACGCCAUGUGAGGAAACCCAUGCAAACUCCACACAGUAAGAACCUGAGUCAAACCCAGCUCUCAAACUACAGGUCUGGUCAGGUGGCGGGACCAUUCCCACGGCCCUCUCACUGGCAGACCAUCGAGCACACAAGUGUGUGCCAACAGCCAUUUUGUCUGCUGGAGCAGCCCAAGAGGAACUGGCUCAUCUGUCUGGUGUGCUUUACCCAGGCCUCCCCUGUGGGUGCAAGUGUGAGGUGGGGUGAGGCAAGUGAGUUGUUGUCUCUGGAACUGGUGCAUCAUGACUGUGGAAUACCUCUGUCCACACAGCUGAGUGGGUCCGAGGAGUGAGGUGAGUGCUGCAUACAUGGGGUUCUUGCUUUUGUAGGUGGUUAGAUUUUUUUUUUUUUGUUAAAUAAAUUUUACUCAAAGGACUUACA